CCUACGGGAGGCAUCAGUAGGGAAUAUUGCUCAAUGGGGGAAACCCUGAAGCAGCAACGCCGCGUGGAGGAUGAAGGUUUUCGGAUUGUAAACACCUUUUGUUAGAGAAGAUAAUGACGGUAUCUAACGAAUAAGCACCGGCUAACUCCGUGCCAGCAGCCGCGGUACUCCGGAGGGUGCAAGCGUUACUCGGAAUCACUGGGCGUAAAGAGCGCGUAGGCGGGAUAGCACGUCAGAUGUGAAAUCCUAUGGCUUAACCAUAGAACUGCAUUUGAAACCGUUAUUCGAGAGGAUGGGAGAGGUAGGUGGAAUUCUUGGUGUAGGGGUAAAAUCCGUAGAGAUCAAGAGGAAUACUCAUUGCGAAGGCGACCUGCUAGAACAUAACGGACGCUGAUGCGCGAAAGCGUGGGGAGCAAACAGGAUGAGAGACCCCAGUAGUC
Molecule: ribosomal RNA, 440 nt
Filed under: uncultured bacterium
Lineage: Bacteria
Description: partial 16S ribosomal RNA
Rfam family: Bacterial small subunit ribosomal RNA
Source: RNAcentral